GCAACCUCCUGAGUAAAGCGGCGAACGGGUGAGUAACACGUAGGUAACCUGCCCUCGAGUCCAGGAUAACCUACCGAAAGGUGGGCUAAUACCGGAUAUGACCACGGGAGCCUCGGCUCCUGCGGUGAAAGGUGGCCUCUGCUUGCAAGCUAUCGCUCGGGGAUGGGCCUGCGGGCCAUUAGCUAGUUGGUGAGGUAACGGCUCACCAAGGCGAUGAUGGCUAGCUGGUCUGAGAGGAUGGCCAGCCACACUGGGACUGAAACACGGCCCAGACUCCUACGGGAGGCAGCAGUGGGGGAUAUUGCGCAAUGGGCGAAAGCCUGACGCAGCGACGCCGCGUGGGUGAUGAAGGCCUUCGGGUCGUAAAGCCCUGUCGAGGGGAACGAAACGGCUCCGACCCAACACGUCGGGGCCCUGACGGUACCCCUAAAGGAAGCACCGGCUAACUCCGUGCCAGCAGCCGCGGUAAUACGGAGGGUGCGAGCGUUGUUCGGAAUCACUGGGCGUAAAGGGCGUGUAGGCGGUCCGCUAAGUCUGAUGUGAAAGCCCGGGGCUCACCCCCGGAAGGGCAUUGGAAACUGGCGGACUCGAGUCCCGGAGAGGAGGGUGGAAUUCCUGGUGUAGCGGUGAAAUGCGUAGAUAUCAGGAGGAACACCGGUGGCGAAGGCGGCCCUCUGGACGGUGACUGACGCUGAGACGCGAAAGCGUGGGGAGCAAACAGGAUUAGAUACCCUGGUAGUCCACGCUGUAAACGAUGAGCACUAGGUGUCGCGGGUAUUGACCCCUGCGGUGCCGCCGCUAACGCAUUAAGUGCUCCGCCUGGGGGACUACGGGCCGCAAGGUUAAAACUCAAAAGGAAUUGACGGGGGGCCCGCACAAAC
Molecule: ribosomal RNA, 881 nt
Filed under: uncultured bacterium
Lineage: Bacteria
Description: bacterial SSU rRNA
Rfam family: Bacterial small subunit ribosomal RNA
Source: RNAcentral